Molecule: non-coding RNA, 64 nt
Organism: Comamonas testosteroni CNB-2
Lineage: Bacteria; Pseudomonadati; Pseudomonadota; Betaproteobacteria; Burkholderiales; Comamonadaceae
Source: Rfam
GGGUGCCCGCCGCACGAGGUGGCGAUGGCAGGUGAAUGUUCAUGCGCAGGUCGGGCCGCCAGCG